Molecule: ribosomal RNA, 155 nt
Filed under: Prevotella melaninogenica
Lineage: Bacteria; Pseudomonadati; Bacteroidota; Bacteroidia; Bacteroidales; Prevotellaceae
Description: partial 16S ribosomal RNA
Rfam family: Bacterial small subunit ribosomal RNA
Source: RNAcentral
ACAAUGGAGAGUUUGAUCCUGGCUCAGGAUGAACGCUAGCUACAGGUUUAACACAUGCAAGUCGAGGGGAAACGGCAUUGAGUGCUUGCACUCUUUGGACGUCGACCGGCGCACGGGUGAGUAACGCGUAUCCAACCUUCCCAUUACUGUGGGAU